RNAcentral lists this ribosomal RNA (275 nucleotides) under uncultured Lactobacillus sp. RNAcentral describes it as "partial 16S ribosomal RNA". It matches the Rfam family "Bacterial small subunit ribosomal RNA", at positions 410 to 679 of the family's 1533-position model. Lineage: Bacteria; Bacillati; Bacillota; Bacilli; Lactobacillales; Lactobacillaceae. The record is from RNAcentral.
GAGCGCKYYCRGCUCGAAAGCUCUGUUGUUAAAGAAGAAAGGRAAGAAAUUAACUGUUCAUASGUUGACGGUAUUUAACCAGAAAGKCRCGGCUAACUACGUGCCAGCAGCCGCGGUAAUACGUAKGUGGCAAGCGUUAUCCGGAUUUAUUGGGCGUAAAGAGAGUGCAGGCGGUUUUCUAAGUCUGAUGUGAAAGCCUUCGGCUUAACCGGAGAAGUGCWUCGGAAACUGGAUAACUUGAGUGCAGAAGAGGGUAGUGGAACUCCAUGUGUAGC